RNAcentral lists this ribosomal RNA (488 nucleotides) under uncultured bacterium. RNAcentral's name for it is "partial 16S ribosomal RNA". It matches the Rfam family "Bacterial small subunit ribosomal RNA", at positions 28 to 507 of the family's 1533-position model. The record is from RNAcentral.
GACGAACGCUGGCGGCGUGCCUAACACAUGCAAGUCGAACGGCAACGCACUGCGUUUGUGGGGUGCUCGAGUGGCGAAGGGGUGCGUAACACGUGAGUAUCCUGCCCUUGAUUUUGGGGUAACUUCAGGAAACUAGGGCUAAUACAGUAUCGGAUCUCAUGUUCCAGUGUGGGGAUUGGAACGUUUCGGCGGUUGGGGAUGGACUCGCGGAUGUUUGGCUAGUUGGUGGGGUAGUGGACGACCAAGGCGUUGAUGGGUAGCUGGCGUGAUAGGGUGGCCAGCCACACUGGAAGUGAGACACGGUCCAGGCUCCUACGGGAGGCAGCAGUGGGGAAUAGUGGGCAAUGGGCGGAAGCUUGAUCCAGCCGUGCCGAGUGGGUGAAGAAGGCCUUCGGGUUGUAAAGCCCUUUUGUUGGGAAAGAAAAGCAGCAGGUUAAUACCCAGCUGUUCUGACGGUACCUAAAGAAAAAGCACCGGCUAACUUCGUG